ACAGAAAAUACCGAUUCGCCAUGGAUGAUACGAUUCAAAGAGACAAGAACCUAUUCGUGCAGCCUAUUCUUGUUCCAAUCGUUUGAGGAAAGCCCGUUUUUUGGCAUCAAAGAAACUCUGUGAUCUAGGAUUAAAAACCUCAUCUCGUUCAGUCUGGGAGAUAGUGGAAUUUUUUCUUUAAACCCGUACAUACACCUUUGAUUUGAAAGGUAUUAGUAGUAAAUCCUCUCUUCAUUCUUUGCUUCGCUUCCUUUCUUUCAUCUGUGAGAGAGACUGGAUCUACUGUCUCUAAUUCAGCAUCUGCCUUUCAAUAGCCGCUCUAGACACCCUAAAGGGAAGUUGGCGCUAGCUUCCUAAAGAGGAUUUCUGUUCUAUGAGGUACAGGCCCAGCCGCACGAAGCAAGAGGAAAUAGGUAUAGGUUGGAUCAAUAAAAGAAAGAUAGAGUUACCAGUAUUAUAAGCCAGGCAUUAGCCCAGUAGGGAGGGCGUGAUCAACCAUUCUUGCUUUGGUUGCCUAUCCCAUCUUAGAAGCAAGAGAUAAAGCAAGCAAGACCUCAAGGACAAGAGAUGAAAGAAGGAUAUCGGGAGAGAGAUAGGAAAAAGAGUACGGAAGCGAAAGCGAAGCCAUCCAGUUAGUUGAACCAAUGCCAGUUGACUGUGUCAAAGAAAUAGAUCCAAUUUAGAUUUCGAGCGUCAUCGCGGAACCAUUACGGGAUAGUCCGUGAUUUGAAGGGUCCUACUUUUCUUAACCCAUUCAAGCCAUGAAAGUGAUUAUAAAACAUGGCCUCUGAGACACCUUUCCUGGGUUGAUCGAAGAUCUGCUAACAAAAGGGCGAGGACAGGAUUAACAAUAAAAUAGCCGUGGACGGAUGGAAA
This 876-nucleotide long non-coding RNA is filed under the name Gossypium barbadense (sea-island cotton). Its description in RNAcentral is "long non-coding RNA (GBAR_LNC000630)". Lineage: Eukaryota; Viridiplantae; Streptophyta; Magnoliopsida; Malvales; Malvaceae. The record is from RNAcentral.